RNAcentral lists this microRNA (22 nucleotides) under Panagrellus redivivus. RNAcentral describes it as "prd-miR-7911b-3p". Lineage: Eukaryota; Metazoa; Nematoda; Chromadorea; Rhabditida; Panagrolaimidae. The record is from miRBase by way of RNAcentral.
GAUGUGCCUUGACCAGGGGUAG